Amphiprion ocellaris (clown anemonefish) is the source of this 734-nucleotide long non-coding RNA. RefSeq lists it as uncharacterized. The transcript is spliced from 3 exons. The record is from RefSeq and is a predicted model, not a curated record. Lineage: Eukaryota; Metazoa; Chordata; Actinopteri; Pomacentridae.
UAUGCCGUCUCACUGUGCUGCAUACAAUUACACACUACGUCGUACGAUUGAGACAAGGAAACUUGGAAUGACUUCUCAUAGGUUUCCCAGAGACUAUGGGUUGAGGAGGAAGUGGAAGUUUGUCGGCUUAGAUCUGGUGUCAUUCCAUCAGUGUUAAACUUCCCGGCUCAUCUUGGAAGAGUACGUGCCAGAAAGACCACAACCAAAAGCCUUGAGAUCUUAGACAGCGUCUCCCUGAGGUCCCUCUUUAUCUCCCCACACAUCCACCAACCACUGGAACACAUCUCCAAAGUUCUGCCGGGCCAGCUCAGCUUCCCCUCAGAAGAAGUGCUGCCACCUGCCAGAUGAAGGAGCCUUUUGAGAGGCAGCUGGCAUCGUGAUUGGACUGUACUUUGGUCUGUUCCAAUCCAGCUUCAGCUCCAGAGACGGCAGGCGGGACGAGUCAACGGAGGCCUGGUGGACGAAGGCAUGAAGCUGAGUACAAUCCAGAAAACAACACAGGAGGAGUGCAGGGCCAGAACAACCAGAGUAGCAUCGUAUGUCUCUUAGAAAACAUCAUAGUAUAGCCUUUGGUAUGAAAAAACGCCAUCAUAUCAUCGUAUAUUGUACAUAUAAGAAGUCAAAGGAAAGAGACAUACAUUGUAGAAUUGUAGUAAUUGUGGGCUGACUGAUUUACUGAUUAUCAGUAUUUUAUUUUUUACUGAUUUACGGUAAUAAAUACAUUUAAAAAUGGC